AAAGGGAACUAGCUGUCCUGUCAGCAAAGGAAUUUGACCAUUUCCUCUGAUAGCAGAUGGAUUGUUGAAAUGCCUCUGUGUACCAGCCUCCAUUGUCUGUUUAGGAGUCAAACUUUCAGACCAGUUACUGACUCUGCUUGGUGUCAUCAAGGCCAUUCCUGAAAAACCCUGGGUGUACUUCCACACCAAGCACAACGGAAGACCUUUCCCAGAAGAUGCACUGGACCCAGUCACCACAUUUCAGGACAGAGGGUCUCAUAGUGCAGAGGAGUUGGCACUGUAUGUUGUCUCCUGAGUAUGCUUGUCAAAUACCAGCACUGCUGCUGAACAGAAAGUUCUGGCUACUCCUGGUAAUAUCCCCUAAAGGCAAACAACAGUGGCUUAAGGUAACACUGAUAAGAAAAGUGAAAUAAGUUUCUUAAGCAGUUAGUAGCACACUCAGAAACAUUUAACUUUUUUUUUUUCUUUGCUACUGCUACUGGUUUCUUAAAAUGUGCAUGUCUGAGUGUGCAUUGUUUCAUAAUGAGAAUUUUUCUGCCUAUAUUUCUAUGCCUACCUAAAUUUAACAACCUACACUGUCAUUCCUCUGAAAUUAUAAAGAUGAACUGAUUUUGAUCUCACUGCAGAGAUUCCUCACAAAUGGCUUUUCAGCACUCUGUGCAUAAAAAGAGCUUGAUUUUGAUCAGCCUGGUGGAGUUAUUUGUACUUAUUUAAACAGAAAUGUGCUACUGAAUCAGAAUAUCAGAAUAAUGUAGAAAGCUAAAAAAUGUACAAGGCUGUGGAAGAUCAAACAUAACUUUUGAUAUUUCAUUGACCUUUGUAAUCAACAAAGAUACAGUUUUUAUUCUAUCAUGUCUAUAGAAGUAUCAGAGUUUUUCCUCCCGAGUAUUGACUAAAAUAUACUUACCCAGUAAAACAAAAUUUAGCAACUGCAUAUCAUCUGAUUGACUUUUACCACUUGAAUUCUGACUCCUAAGACUAAAAUAGUGUUCUAGAAAGUAGUCAAAGUAGUGAAAUACUGUAUCUUUUGAAUCAUUCUGAUUUACCAUAACGAGAAAGGGAGACUUUUCCAAAGUCCUUUAUAUAAUUUUGCUUUAAAUUACAUACUCCUCCAAUAUACUUGAAGCAAACAACAUGAGGAAAUAAUAUAUGACUCCUUUAAUGUAAAAAAUCAUUAAUCAUGUAAAUAAAAGUGUUUAAAUGUAUUUUAUAAAUGGUAUU
Molecule: long non-coding RNA, 1221 nt
Filed under: Zonotrichia albicollis (white-throated sparrow)
Lineage: Eukaryota; Metazoa; Chordata; Aves; Passeriformes; Passerellidae
Description: lncRNA (ENSZALG00000010886.1)
Source: RNAcentral